GAUGAACGCUGGCGGCGUGCCUAAUACAUGCAAGUCGAGCGAACAGACGAGGAGCUUGCUCCUCUGACGUUAGCGGCGGACGGGUGAGUAACACGUGGAUAACCUACCUAUAAGACUGGGAUAACUUCGGGAAACCGGAGCUAAUACCGGAUAAUAUAUUGAACCGCAUGGUUCAAUAGUGAAAGACGGUUUUGCUGUCACUUAUAGAUGGUUCCGCGCCGCAUUAGCUAGUUGGUAAGGUAACGGCUUACCAAGGCAACGAUGCGUAGCCGACCUGAGAGGGUGAUCGGCCACACUGGAACGGAGACACGGUCCAGACUCCUACGGGAGGCAGCAGUAGGGAAUCUGCCGCAAUGGGCGAAAGCCUGACGGAGCAACGCCGCGUGAGUGAUGAAGGUCUUCGGAUCGUAAAACUCUGUUAUUAGGGAAGAACAAAUGUGUAAGUAACUAUGCACGUCUUGACGGUACCUAAUCAGAAAGCCACGGCUAACUACGUG
This 497-nucleotide ribosomal RNA is filed under the name uncultured bacterium. Its description in RNAcentral is "partial 16S ribosomal RNA". It matches the Rfam family "Bacterial small subunit ribosomal RNA", at positions 28 to 507 of the family's 1533-position model. The record is from RNAcentral.